UCCCCGUUUUCCGGGGCAGUCCCUGUAGAGUUCCCGGCAUAACCCGUUGGCAACUGGGAGCGAGGGUUGCGCUCGUUGCGGGACUUAACCCAACAUCUCACGACACGAGCUGACGACAGCCAUGCAGCACCUGUGCUGGCGCUCCGAAGAGGGGCCGAUGUUUCCACCGGCUUUCACCAGCAUGUCAAACCCUGGUAAGGUUCUUCGCGUUGCUUCGAAUUGAGCAACAUCCUCCACCGCUUGUGUGAGCCCCCGUCAAUUCCUUUGAGUUUCAGCCUUGCGGCCGUACUCCCCAGGCGGGGCACUUACUGCGUUAGCGACGGCACCGGGAGGGUCGCUCCCCCCGACGCCUAGUGCCCAUCGUUUACGGCGUGGACUAC
RNAcentral lists this unclassified non-coding RNA (380 nucleotides) under uncultured Gemmatimonadaceae bacterium. RNAcentral describes it as "contains 16S-23S intergenic spacer region". The record is from RNAcentral. Lineage: Bacteria; Pseudomonadati; Gemmatimonadota; Gemmatimonadia; Gemmatimonadales; Gemmatimonadaceae.